AUAGGACUUUGGUUCUAUUUUGUUGGUUUCUAGGGACCGAAGUAAUGAUUAAUAGGGAUAGUUGGGGGCAUUAGUAUUUAAUUGUCAGAGGUGAAAUUCUUGGAUUUAUGAAAGACUAACUUCUGCGAAAGCAUUUGCCAAGGAUGUUUUCAUUAAUCAAGAACGAAAGUUAGGGGAUCGAAGACGAUCAGAUACCGUCGUAGUCUUAACCAUAAACUAUGCCGACUAGGGAUCAGACAAGGAUAUUUUGACUUGUUUGGCGCCUUAUGAGAAAUCAAAGUUUUUGGGUUCCGGGGGGAGUAUGGCGCAAGGCUGAAACUUAAAGGAAUUGCGGAAGGGCCCCCCAGGAGUGGAGCCUGCGGCUUAAUUUGACUCACACGG
Molecule: ribosomal RNA, 381 nt
Filed under: uncultured zygomycete JK1-14
Lineage: Eukaryota; Fungi
Description: SSU rRNA
Rfam family: Eukaryotic small subunit ribosomal RNA
Source: RNAcentral